AAUAGAUACCCCGGUAGUCCUAGCCGUAAACGAUGAACACUAGGCGUAGUCGGUAUCGACCCCGGCUGUGCCGUAGCUAACGCAUUAAGUGUUCCGCCUGGGGAGUACGGCCGCAAGGCUAAAACUCAAAAGAAUUGACGGGGGCCCGCACAAGCAGCGGAGCGUGUGGUUUAAUUCGUCGCAACGCGAAGAACCUUACCAGGGCUUGACAUGUGGCGGAAAACGGCGGAAACGUCGUCCUCCCGCAAGGGACCGUCAUGCAGGUGUUGCAUGGCUGUCGUCAGCUCGUGUCGUGAGAUGUUGGGUUAAGUCCCGCAACGAGCGCAACCCCCGUGGCAUGUUGUAUCUCUCAUGCCAGACUGCCGAGAGAAACUCGGAGGAAGGUGGGGAUGACGCCAAGUCAGCAUGGCCCUUACGUCCUGGGCUACACACACGCUACAAUGGCCGGUACAACGGGUUGCCAAACCGCGAGGUGGAGCUAAUCCCUUAAAGCCGGUCUCAGUUCGGAUUGCAGGCUGCAACUCGCCUGCAUGAAGCC
Molecule: ribosomal RNA, 538 nt
Filed under: uncultured bacterium
Lineage: Bacteria
Description: bacterial SSU rRNA
Rfam family: Bacterial small subunit ribosomal RNA
Source: RNAcentral